This 3118-nucleotide long non-coding RNA is filed under the name Homo sapiens (human). RNAcentral's name for it is "PCBP1 antisense RNA 1". Lineage: Eukaryota; Metazoa; Chordata; Mammalia; Primates; Hominidae. The record is from RNAcentral.
GAACACAAAAUGGCGACACGUGGUUAGCAUUCGUCGCCAACGAGAAAUUGGGGUCGGCCCGAAAGCUCUAGAAUGCACCCCUCUUCCUCCCCGGGGCCUUCCACCUCCGCGAGUUUUAUGACUUAAAAAAGCCCACAGGCUGGUCUGAAGAGGAAGACAAACAUAAAGAUGAAGUGCUUAAUUCAAGGUCACACAAUGUCGGGGAUGGACCUCCAGAUUUCCUUACUGGAAAACAAGCUCAGGGCUCCCACUGAUUGUACAUUAUGAGACGGAGUCUUGCUAUGUUGCCCAGGCUGGUCUUGAACUCCUCACCUCAAGCGAUCCUCCCGUCUUGGCCUCCCAAGUGUCAGGAUUACGGGCAUGUGCUAUCACACCCAACCUGAUACAUUGCCUUUAUAAAUUUUUUUUUCUUUAUUCUAAAAACCAGAAAAAACAAAACUGGAUACAUGUGCAGAACAUGCAGGUUUGUUACAUAGCUGUACGUGUGCCAUGGUGGUUUGCUGCACCUAUUGACCUAUCCUGUGAGACGUGGUCUUGUAACACAGUGGUUAAGAAUGUGACUUUGGAGCCAGCCUGCUAGGGGCUGAAUUCUGACUCAGCCAUUUACUAACUGUGUGACCUUAGGUAAGUCAUUUACCUUCUUUGUCCCUCAGUUUCAUCUCGGUUAAGUAGGGAUAAUGAUAGCACCUAUUUUAUAGGGUUAUUGUGAGGAAUAAAUCCAAGUAAAAUGCUUAGAAUAGUAACUGAAACAUAGCACUCAUUAGGAAUGCUUUAAUUUUCAUUUAUUUGAGUAUUAAAGGUUGAAUUUUCAGAGGUAUUUUGGACCUUUGUAUUUUUUCUUUAAAUCACUUAUUCAUGACUUUUGAACUUUUUUUUUUCUUUUAGAGACAGGGUCUUGGUUUGUUGUCUAGGCUGGAAUGCAGUGGUGCAAUCAUAGCUCACUGUAGCCUUGAACUCUUGGGCUCAAGAGAUCCUCCUGCCUCAGCCUCGUGAGUAGCUGGGCCUACAGGCGCCUGCUACCACACCUGGCUAAUUUUUUAUUUUUUGUAGAGAUGGGUUCUUGCAGCCCAGACUGGUCUUGAGCUUUGGCCUGAAGUGCUCCUCCUGCCUUGGCCUCUCAAAGCAUUGGGGUUACAGGUGUGAAGCACUGCACCUUGCCUACACAUUUUUUCCAAUAAUUUUUUUUAUUAAUUUGUAAGAGUUAACAUGUCGACUAUCAUAUAUAACAUAGAAUUGUUCCCAUUUUGUCAUUUCCUUUCAACUUUGUCUAUGUAGCUUUUUUUCUGUGUGCAAAUUUUACAUUUUUAGGUAGUCAGAAAAUCUCUUCCCUUGUAAUUUUUUCUGCUACUAGACCAAUGUUUAGAAAAAAGCGUGCUUCCCCACCUCAAAAUUAUAAAAAUAGUUACUUGUUCUUUUUGAGUACUGUGUGUGUUUAAAUCUUUAAUCUUUAAAUUUAAAUCUUUGAUCCAUCUGGUAUUUAUUUUGAUAUGAAGAGAGUGGUUGGGAUCUGGCUGUAUUUCUUUUUUCUUUUUUUUUCUUUUUUCUUUUUUUGACGAAGUCUCACUGUUGCUCAGGCUGGAGUGCAAUGGCAUGAUCUCGGCUCAUCACAACCUCUGCUUCCUGGGUUCAAGCGAUUCUCCUGCCUCAGCCUCCCGAGUACCUGGGACUACAGGCACUCGCCACCAUGCCCGGCUGAUUUUUGUAUUUUUAAUAGAGAUGGUUUCACUAUGUUGGCCAGGCUGGUCUCGAACUCCUGACCUUGUGAUCUGCCCACCUCAGCCUCGAAAAGUGCUGGGAUUACAGGCGUGAGCCACUGCGCCCAGCCUUGUAUUUUUUUUCAGUUUGGGUAGCUGUCCCUAAUUCAUUUGUUAAAGGAGAAGCAAGAGCAAGAACCUUUAAUCUGUUCUCCUCUUCCCUAAUUUGAAAGUAGCUUGUUAUUUUGAAUAUCACUUUCUCUGAAAUAGCACAUCUCCAUCUCAGAGAAUGGAUUUAAUGUUUGGAUACAGCCAAAAGUCAUUUCAUUACCAAACCAUGGGGUGAAUAUACCAUGUAAAGCAGUUUGGGAUCAGAACUCACAGUCUGAAUUGUAAGUGAUGAGACUGCUGUCUCUCUGCUACAGCUUCUUGGCUGGCUCUGAAGGCUCUUUGAAGGCAGAUCCUAACAAGGGGACUGCUUUGAAGGGCCAUUGUUCAUUUGGAAUGAUAAAGUCUAUGUUGUUCAAAAAACAAAUGCUUGUAGCAGGUAUUUUUUCACUCCAGACUGAGAAUAUUGGUGGGAUAUUGAUAAGGGGUACUGAAUGGUAAUAAACAUGUGCUCUAGCUCUGUGCUAGUCAGCUUAUUUCAGAACUCUAGUUUGAUUCAGUUUCUUGCCUCUGACUCAAAAUGGAGGGAGAGUGAUUUUUACAUAAGAGAACACACCCACAUAUCCUUUUGGCAGCAGCUACCUGCCAGAGAUGUUGAAGAAGAGUAGCCAACCUUUACACAGCAGAUAUUGUGUGCCAGUCAUAGUCCUAAGUAUAAUACCUUACAUGUAUAAACUUCUUAUAAGGUUGGUGCUCUGUACCGAAUUGAAUAGUAUCCCCCAAAAUUCAUGUUGUCCCAGAACCUAUGAAAGUGAUCUUACUUGAGGGAGGGGGGAGGGGGGAGGGAUAGCAUUAGGAGAUAUACCUAAUGCUAAAUGACGAGUUAAUGGGUGUAGCACACCAGCAUGGCACAUGUAUACAUAUGUAACUAACCUGCACAUUGUGCACAUGUACCCUAAAACUUAAAGUAUAAUAAUAAUAAAAUAAAAAAAAAAAAGAAAGUGAUCUUACUUGGAAAUAAGGUCUUUGCACAUAUGAUCAAGUUGAGAUGAAGUUGUACUGGAAAGUCUGUCUAGUGACUGGUGUUGUCAUAAGAAGAGAGGGACACAGAGGGAAGAUGGCCACAUGAAGAUGGAGGCAGAGAUUGCAGUUAUGCUGCUGCAAACUAAGGAAUGGCUCUGGCCCUCCAAGGAUUGCUGAUAACCACCAGAAACUAGAAGAGACAAGGAAGGAUUCUUCCCUAGAGCCUUCAGAGGGAGCAUGGCCCUACUGACACCUGGAUUUCAAACUUGUAGCUUCCUAAACUGCAAGAGAAU